This 352-nucleotide unclassified non-coding RNA is filed under the name soil metagenome. Its description in RNAcentral is "partial contains 5.8S ribosomal RNA, internal transcribed spacer 2, and large subunit ribosomal RNA". The stretch from base 1 to 120 matches the Rfam family "5.8S ribosomal RNA", at positions 35 to 154 of the family's 154-position model. The record is from RNAcentral.
GAUGAAGAACGUAGCGAAAUGCGAUAAGUAAUGUGAAUUGCAGAAUUCAGUGAAUCAUCGAAUCUUUGAACGCACAUUGCGCCCGCCAGUAUUCUGGCGGGCAUGCCUGUUCGAGCGUCAUUACAACCCUCAGGCCCCCGGGCCUGGCGUUGGGGAUCGGCGGAGCCCCCCGUGGGCACACGCCGUCCCCCAAAUGCAGUGGCGGUCCCGCCGCAGCUUCCAUCGCGUAGUAGCUAACACCUCGCGACUGGAGAGCGGCGCGGCCACGCCGUAAAACACCCAACUCUUCUGAAGUUGACCUCGAAUCAGGUAGGAAUACCCGCUGAACUUAAGCAUAUCAAUAAGCGGAGGA